Molecule: ribosomal RNA, 253 nt
Filed under: uncultured bacterium
Lineage: Bacteria
Description: partial 16S ribosomal RNA
Rfam family: Bacterial small subunit ribosomal RNA
Source: RNAcentral
UACGUAGGUGGCAAGCGUUGUCCGGAUUUAUUGGGCGUAAAGCGCGCGCAGGCGGUUCGUUAAGUUCGAGGUGAAAUCUCCUGGCUCAACUGGGAGGGGUCUUCGGAUACUGGCGGACUUGAGGAGAGCAGAGGUGAGUGGAAUUCUCGGUGUAGUGGUGAAAUGCGUAGAUAUCGAGAGGAACACCAGCGGCGAAGGCGGCUCACUGGCCUCCACCUGACGCUGAGGCGCGAAAGCGUGGGGAGCGAACCGG